GGACAGUGAAGCACCCUGUUCGAGCUCCGGUUCGGACAGUGAAGCGCCAAGGAACAUCGUAGUGGGAGGAUCUGAUGGAUGGAAAAAAGGUUUGGAUUACAAAGAGUGGGCUUCCAAGAAUGCUCCUUUCUACGUCAACGAUGUUCUUGGUAAGUAACGUAUUCUAUAUCUUAUUUUACUAUACCUUAUUUUCUAUGGUAAAUCAUUGAAUCGGCGUUAAUGAAUCAUCUUUUGACAUGGUGCAGUUUUCAAGUACGAUAAAUCGGCCAAGCGAAGGAACAAUGUAUAUUUGUUCCAAGAUCCAUGGAGUUAUAUGAACUGCGACCUAAAGAAUGCAAAGAAGAUUGGUUUGACGCAUAAAAGAUCAGAAAAAAGCUUCAAGUUUACACUUCGACAAAAUAAGCCUUACUUCUUUGCGUCGGGCGAGCAUGAUGGUGAUUAUUGCACCAACCACAACAUGAAGUUCACCCUUUUCCCUGUUCC
This 483-nucleotide long non-coding RNA is filed under the name Brassica rapa (field mustard). RNAcentral's name for it is "long non-coding RNA (BRAP_LNC004909)". The record is from RNAcentral. Lineage: Eukaryota; Viridiplantae; Streptophyta; Magnoliopsida; Brassicales; Brassicaceae.